RNAcentral lists this ribosomal RNA (460 nucleotides) under uncultured bacterium. RNAcentral describes it as "partial 16S ribosomal RNA". It matches the Rfam family "Bacterial small subunit ribosomal RNA", at positions 338 to 795 of the family's 1533-position model. The record is from RNAcentral.
CCUACGGGAGGCAGCAGUGAGGAAUAUUGGUCAAUGGACGAGAGUCUGAACCAGCCAAGUAGCGUGAAGGAUGACUGCCCUAUGGGUUGUAAACUUCUUUUAUAUGGGAAUAAAACGUUCCACGUGUGGGAUUUUGUAUGUACCAUAUGAAUAAGGAUCGGCUAACUCCGUGCCAGCAGCCGCGGUAAUACGGAGGAUCCGAGCGUUAUCCGGAUUUAUUGGGUUUAAAGGGAGCGUAGGUGGAUUGUUAAGUCAGUUGUGAAAGUUUGCGGCUCAACCGUAAAAUUGCAGUUGAAACUGGCAGUCUUGAGUACAGUAGAGGUGGGCGGAAUUCGUGGUGUAGCGGUGAAAUGCUUAGAUAUCACGAAGAACUCCGAUUGCGAAGGCAGUUCACUGGACUGCAACUGACACAGAGGCUCGAAAGUGUGGGUAUCAAACAGGAUUAGAUACCCCUGUAGUC